RNAcentral lists this ribosomal RNA (763 nucleotides) under unidentified microorganism. Its description in RNAcentral is "bacterial SSU rRNA". It matches the Rfam family "Bacterial small subunit ribosomal RNA", at positions 48 to 813 of the family's 1533-position model. The record is from RNAcentral.
GCUACACAUGCAGUCGAGGGGUAGAGUUCUUCGGGACUUGAGACCGGCGCACGGGUGCGUAACGCGUAUGCAAUCUACCUUAUACAGGGGAAUAGCCCAGAGAAAUUUGGAUUAAUGCCCCAUAGUGUUAUCGAAUCGCAUGGUUUGAUAACUAAAGUUCCAACGGUAUAAGAUGAGCAUGCGUCCCAUUAGUUAGUUGGUAAGGUAACGGCUUACCAAGACAAUGAUGGGUAGGGGUCCUGAGAGGGAGAUCCCCCACACUGGUACUGAGACACGGACCAGACUCCUACGGGAGGCAGCAGUGAGGAAUAUUGGUCAAUGGGCGCAAGCCUGAACCAGCCAUGCCGCGUGCAGGAAGACGGUCCUAUGGAUUGUAAACUGCUUUUAUACAGGAAGAAACCCUCCCACGUGUGGGAGCUUGACGGUACUGUAGGAAUAAGGAUCGGCUAACUCCGUGCCAGCAGCCGCGGUAAUACGGAGGAUCCAAGCGUUAUCCGGAAUCAUUGGGUUUAAAGGGUCCGUAGGCGGCCUUAUAAGUCAGUGGUGAAAUCUCCUAGCUCAACUAGGAAACUGCCAUUGAUACUGUAGGGCUUGAAUUUUUGUGAAGUAACUAGAAUAUGUAGUGUAGCGGUGAAAUGCUUAGAUAUUACAUGGAAUACCAAUUGCGAAGGCAGGUUACUAACAAACGAUUGACGCUGAUGGACGAAAGCGUGGGGAGCGAACAGGAUUAGAUACCCUGGUAGUCCACGCCGUAAACGAUGGA